Molecule: unclassified non-coding RNA, 314 nt
Filed under: Hevea brasiliensis (rubber tree)
Lineage: Eukaryota; Viridiplantae; Streptophyta; Magnoliopsida; Malpighiales; Euphorbiaceae
Source: RNAcentral
CGAUGAUGUUUCCUUCUAAUUCCACCUUUGGAUGUGGGCAAAGAAACUACAUUAUCGUCUGAAUCCCCAGUUGAAUCUACUUGUUUCAGCACCUUAUGGCCCUUGACUGCACCUGUUGCUGAGAACUGUAUAUCUUUGUCUGGUACACCUAGGAACUGGGCAAUGAAAAAUGUAUUCCAAUCAGGAAUACAUCAGCUUGUGAAUAUACAGUGUGAAGGCAUUAACCCCUCACAAAAAGGGCAAAUCAUUAUGUCAUGCAGCCAAAGAAUGUGAAUAUCUGGAACAAAAGUGCGCUAAUCAGCAAGCAAUCCUGC